This 18142-nucleotide long non-coding RNA is filed under the name Triticum aestivum (bread wheat). RNAcentral describes it as "long non-coding RNA (TAES_LNC005904)". The record is from RNAcentral. Lineage: Eukaryota; Viridiplantae; Streptophyta; Magnoliopsida; Poales; Poaceae.
AAAUAUGUCUGUCAAAACAGACUGAAACUAGUCCAACAAUUCUCAAAUCUUGACUUGAGAGCUCAAAGAAUAAUAAGCACCGGAAAAGCGUACUGGAAAAAUUAGUGCUUAAUUAAACCAAGAGGUUACACGUCAAGGUUAUAGGCUAAUCAAAUGGGAGCUACUUAACCCAAAAGACUAACACGCACUAGCACAAGACACUAGUACUUAACUUGCACGUACUAGCAUAAUACUUUUUCAAUGGAGAAGAACUACACUGCCUGGAGCUGAUUUCACUAGACGAGAAUCUGUAGCACAUACAGCAGCUAGACUAGCAACUAACUGAAAUCCACGAUUUUAGUUCUACCGAUUUGGACUGACCAACUCUGCUAGCCUAAAGACGAACGACAGAUAGCUGAAGAUGAACUAAAACCUGAGAAAAUUACGCCAAGCAUAAAAAUAGAAGGGAGCGAGCCAGUAGCAUCAGCGGAUGCUCUUCCGUUCGACAGAGAACGCCAAGAAAAUUGCUAGAAAUACAGCAACCCCAAAUCGAAACAAGAACAGAGGACGAACUCAGUAUGAACUCGCACAAAAUAAAUCACCAAAGAUAAAAUCUUGUGCCAUCCUCAGGAACCCAUGAAUAAAUUGAACAACAACCGGAUUUAAGGCUAGGGAUGGAUGCAUAUGAAUUUAGACAUGAUUUUCCAUCACAGAAAACCCAUUAUAGCCAAGGAAUCGUAGGGACAAAAUUAGUACAGCAGAAAAAUGAGAUUUGCAAGGACAAACAUCAGACCUCAACAAUAGCAAGGCUGCGAAUAAUUUGAGGAUUUAUUUCUCAGAUUUCUGGAGUUACAAGCCUCUCUCACAUUAAAUCCCACACAGGAAGCUCUCUCUCAAAUGUGCGGCGGCUGCUCUGUUUUUCUCCUCCUAGCGGCGGCAACUCUAUCUUAUGCCAAGAGAAAACCUAGCAGCUUACAUAUAAGGCUGGAUCAGCCUUCCACCGCCAUUGAAUGGGCCAUGGUUCCCACCGAAUGGGCCAAGCCCAAAACACUAAAACAAAUAGCCCUUUUUACUUAGCCACUUGUAAAUAACACUUUCCACUCUUAAGCAACACCACAAUCACUCUCUUGGUUUGCUUCUUAGUGGAUUUUGGUAAACAUACCAAAAUAACCUUCACUUGACAUGAUCUUCUCGUUUGCCUCCAUAUAGUCCUUGUCCAAAACUUGUGCGUUGCUUUGAGCCGCACGAUCCCGCACAACGUCCAUGGUCACAUCUUAGCUCUUCAAGCCUCAUGCCAACCAUCCUCGUUGUCGACUACCAUCGCACUCAUUGGAACCUGCACACAAUGGAAACAAGCAACUAUUGCGAGCACAAACUUCCUGAGCUUGACCCAAGUCAAUCCAAAUUAACAGUUUAAUACGAUCAACGCCAUCCAGAUAAGUCACAUAAAAUAGAUCAGGUCCUUGAUCCAACAAACUGGGAUUUGCAACCCCACUAAAAUAACUCUCAAAGCGAGCAAAAACAUUGGUAAUAUAAUCAUCACAAAAUUAAGGGUAUCACCACAUAGACUCACAAUCUCCCCCCUUGAUGUUUAUAUUGCCAACUCAGCUCUCAGGAAGAAAAAUUAGAGUUUUAGUUUUAACAGAGAGAAGGAAAGUUGAAAAAUCACACUUGGUCCUAAAGAAAAAAAUGUAGACAUGACCAAGUGGACAAGGUGGAGAGUGAAGCUAACACCCGGAUCCAAAGCUUCACUUCCAACUAAAACUCAUCAGAGAGAAAUCAACCUUGUUUUCACAAGUUCACAAGGGAAAGAACCAAGAUUUUUUUAAGUAUGAACGGCUCCCCCUAACUCCCCUCAACUUGUGUACAUACUGAGACUCAUACAGUGCUCAAUUUGCAACAUAUGCACUGUCCUAUUUCUCCCCCUUUGGCAUUAUAAGCAUCAAGGGAGAUGCCUCCCCCUCAAUUUAUGCAUAUGAGAAAACAUCAAGAUCGAGCAUGUAUGCAUGAAGUGGAAUUUAUGCAAUUGUACGAGCAUUGAAGAUUAUUCAGUUGAAGCACAUGAGAUAGAAAUGCUACUAGGCCAUGAUAAGUAAGAGCUCAUCUAGUCAUACUAAGACAUAUAGAGAAAAUCCUUGAGCUAGAUGCAACAAGACAUUCAAUUUCUUAGUAACUUUAGUUUUCACACAUGAUGAGUUAUUAUGUAGGCAAACACAUGGAAAAGAGACUAAACAUUGCAGGGCAUUACAACCUAGCGCUAAGCAAUGACUAGGAGGCACACCCGAUCAAAAAUGGAACAUUCUCGCUAUGCUGAUCAUCUCACAAGCAAAGUGCCACCUCUUGCACGAGCAGGCACCUUGAGUGAUUAAGUCAACACAAAAUGAUACACUUAGAAAUUCUAUGAAAAGGCACAAGCAAGGUACCACCUCCUGCACGAGCAGGUACCUUGAGUGAUUUUAUUUUGAUUUUAUGAAAAGGCACAAGCAAAGUACCACCUCCUACACGAGCAGGUACCUUGAGUGAUUUUAUUUUGAUUUUAUGUUAAGUCACAAGCAAAGCACCACCUCCUGCACAAGCAGGUACCUUGAGUGGUUUGAUUAAGAAAGUAUGGAAUAUGCACAAGCAAAAUACCACCACCUGCAUGAGGAGGUAUCUUGAGUGAUUCUUCACAAAAAAAUGCAGAUAAAAAGUAACUCAUGAAAGCAAGACUAGGGACUUGACAAGACAGUAGACCAUAUCCGACCUAAGUGACAUAGGUCUAAGCAAAACAAGUCUCUAGUGGUUCCAGGUGUGAUAUCAAAUGGAGUCCAAACUAGCUAGCCACAACAUAGAUCAGAGUUGCAAUACAAAGCACAAGUAGAUUCUCAAGUCAAGGUGAUCAACUAGCAUAGAACUCAUCAUAUGGUCAACAUGUUUAUUUAGUUCAACUUCAUUUCUAAUUAAAAGUAGCAUGCAAAGGGUUAUCCAUAUAUGGCAAACCAUGACAGGAUGAGCUAGACAAUAAGCAUAACAUGGCCAAGAGCAACUUCAUUAUGAAGAUUUCUUCAACAAAAGAAUCAUAAAAGCUCAAAGGUAUCUUACAUAUGAUGCAAGGUGCAAUAUGAUACAUAUGAACAAAGAAAAAACACAAACUCCCCCUUCACAAGAUCCCAUAAGGGCCGACGACCCCCAAAUCUCCCCGCAAAGAAGCAAAACGACUAACAUCCAAAGGUUUGGUAAAAAUAUCGGCAAGCUAAUGCUCAGUAUCAACAUACAUGAGCUCUAUAUCACCUUUCUCCACGUGGUCUCUUAUGAAGUGGUAGCACAGCUCAAUGUGUUUAGUUCUAGAGUGUUGGACUGGAUUCUUAGGAAUACUUAUCGCACUAGUGUUAUCGCAGAAAAGUGGAAUAGAAGAAAUGAAAAUCCCCAAAUCCUGUAAAGUAGAAGAGAUCCAAAGAAUCUGACUACAACUGCUCGCAGCUGCUACAUACUCUGCCUCGGCUGUGCUCUGUGCUGCACUAGAUUGCUUCCUAGAAGACUAAGAAAUAAGGGAAGUACCUAGAAAGUGACAAGUACCGGAAGUGCUCUUGCGGUCUAUCCUACACCCACCAAAGUCUGAAUCUGCAAACCCCCUAACUCCUAAACUAGAAGAACUAGAAAACCAUAGGCCAAAAUCAGGUGUUCCUUGGAGGUACCUUAAAAUGCGUUUGAUGGCUUGCUUAUGGGAGUCUCUUGGGGAAGCCUAAAAACGAGCACACAGGCAUACCGCAAAUUGUAUGUCUGGCCUCAUUGCAGUCAAGUACAGUAGUGAGCCAAUCAUGCUUCUGUAUUCUCGCUGGUCCACCACCUCACCAUUUUCGUCUACAUCAAGUAUUGUGGCAGUGGACAUUGGGGUAUGGAGUGGCUUGGAAUCGCUCAUCCCAAACUUCUUUAACAUGUCCUUCGUGUACUUGCCUUGAUAUACAAAGGUGCCCUGCUUUGUUUGCUUGAUUUGCAGUCCAAGAAAGAAGGACAACUCACCCAUCAUGGACAUCUCAAAUUCAUCACUCAUGUCUUUGGAAAACUUAGCACAAAGAGCAUUAGACGAGCCACCAAAUAUGAUAUCAUCUACGUAAAUUUGCACUAUAAGUAGUUCAUUAUGAUGCCUAAGAGUGAACAAGGUCUUAUCAGCUUCACCCAUUUUAAAACCUUUCUUGAUUAAAAACCCUUUGAGCCAAUCGUACCAAGCUCUAGGGGCUUGCUUAAGACCAUAAAGAGCUUUCUGCAAUUUAUAGACAUGGUUUGGGAGCUUGUCAUUUUCAAAACCAGGGGGUUCUUUUACAUAAACUUCUUCAUCAAUGAAACCAUUUAGAAAAGCACUUUUGACAUCCAUUUGAAAUAACUUAAAACCCUUGGAAGCAGAGUAAGCAAGUAAAAUACGUAUCGCCUCCAACCGUGCAACAGGUGCAAAGGUCUCAUCAAAAUCAAAAACCUGAAUUUGAGAAUAACCUGGAGCAACUAGGCGAGCCCUGUUGUGAACAACUUGGCCGUCCUCUCCCUGUUUAUUUUUGAAAACCCACUUGGUUCCAAUAACAUUUAUACUCUGGUCAAAUGGGGUUUUUACAAGUUGCCAUACCUUGUUUCUCUCAAAGUUCUCUAACUCCUCAUGCAUUUCCCUAAUCCAAUUUUCAUCUUCUAAUGCAUGGCUAACAUCUCGGGGCUCAAAAGAUGCAACAAAUGCAGUAUGUGCAAAGUCUGAGAAAUGAGUGGACCUGGAGCGCAAAGUACGCUCAGAGAUGUUGCCGAUGAUCAGAUCUGGUGGGUGAGCAUGAUGAAGACGUAGAGAUCCCUGAAGGACCUCAGAAGCAGGUGAGGAAAUAGUUGUGGUAGCCUCUGCCUCAGCAUCUUCCAUUGGAACAGAAGUGGUAGUAGGUUCUGCGGCAGGUGCAAGGGGUAUGGGGUUUUCCCCACACCAUCCUCAUUAUCUUCUUCAACAAAUAAGGUUUCAAAAACUUAUGGUGUACCUGAAAACUCGUGUCUAGCUGGGCUAGCCUCAUCAAAAGUUACAUCGCAAGUCUCUACCACAAGGUUAGAUUCUAAAUUUAAAACACGAUAGCCCUUCAUGUGAGCAGGGUAACCAAGAAAGAUACCAUCAGAAGUGCGCGACUCAAACUUGUCAAGCAGGCCCUUCUUUAGGAUAAAACACUUGCAACCAAACACCCGCAAAUGAGAAAUAUUAGGCUUUCUACCAAAUCUCAACUCAUAAGAGGUCACUUUCAAGGAACUCCGAAGAAAAACACGAUUUGACACAUAGCAAGCUGUACUAAUGGCUUCAUCCCAAUAACGCCGCAGUGUGCCAAAUUCAUCAAGCAUGGUCCUUGCCAUCUCCACAAGAGUUCUAUUUUUCCUUUCCACAACACCAUUUUGUUGAGGUGUGCGAGGAGAAGAAAAUUGGUGCUCAAUUCCUCUCUCAGCAAGGAAAUCGGCAAAGGAAGAAUUUUUGAACUCCAAACCAUUAUCACUACGAAUAGUUUUCAUCUCACCAGGAAAUACAUUGAAUAGCCUUAAAGCCAAAUCAUGAAAAUGAUUGAAUGCUUCCGAUUUAUGAUCCAUAAAGAAAAUCCAAGAGUAUCGAGAAAAAUCAUUUACGAUGACAAGCACGUACCACUUCCCACUAGCUGACCGGACCCGAGCUGGACCAAGUGUGUCCAUAUGUAACAAUUGAGCGGGUCUGGUUGUGUUCACCAGAUUGAUUGGAGGGUGAGAGGCAGAGACUUGCUUUCCAUGCCGGCAUGGGGCACACACAAUGUCCUUUGUGGCUUUGAGCUUAGGCAAACCUCGCAAAAGAUCAAGGCCGCCAAUUCGAAUUAGGUGGUCAAAACCAACAUGCCCCAAGCGACGAUGCCACAACUGAAACUCACUCAUCUUAGAAGAGGCCACAAAAUGAAGGAGAUAUGCCCUAGAGGCAAUAAUAAUGUUAUUAUUUUAUUUCCUUAUAUCAUGAUAAAUGUUUAUUAUUCAUGCUAGAAUUGUAUUAUCCAGAAACAUAAUACUUGUGUGAAUACAUAGACAAACUAAAACAUCACUAGUAUGCCUCUACUUGACUAGCUCGUUAAUCAAAGAUGGUUAUGUUUCCUAACCAUAGACAUGUGUUGUCAUUUGAUUAACGGGAUCACAUUAUUAGGAGAAUGAUGUGAUUGACAUGACCCAUUCCAUUAGCUUAGCACCCGAUCGUUUAGUAUGUUGCUAUUGCUUUCUUCAUGACUUAUACAUGUUCCUAUGACUAUGAGAUUAUGCAACUCCCGUUUGCCGGAGGAACACUUUGUGUGCUACCAAACGUCACAACGUAACUGGGUGAUUAUAAAGGAGCUCUACAGGUGUCUCCAAAUGUAAAUGUUGGGUUGGCGUAUUUCGAGAUUAGGAUUUGUCACUCCGAUUGUCGGAGAGGUAUCUCUGGGCCCUCUCGGUAAUGCACAUCACAUAAGCCUUGCAAGCAUUGCAACUAAUGAGUUAGUUGCGAGAUGACGUAUUACGAAACGAGUAAAGAGACUUGCCGGUAACGAGAUUGAACUAGGUAUUGAGAUACCGACGAUCGAAUCUCGGGCAAGUAACAUACCGAUGACAAAGGGAACAACGUGUGUUGUUAUGCGGUUUGACCGAUAAAGAUCUUCGUAGAAUAUGUGGGAGCCAAUAUGAGCAUCCAGGUGCCGCUAUUAGUUAUUGACCGGAGACAUGUCUCGGUCAUGUCUACAUUGUUCUCGAACCCGUAGGGUCCGCACGCUUAAGGUUUCGAUGACAGUUAUAUUAUGAGUUUAUGAGUUUUGAUGUACCGAAGUUAGUUCGGAGUCCCGGAUGUGAUCACGGACAUAACGAGGAGUCUCCAAAUGGUCGAGACAUAAAGAUUGAUAUAUUGGACGACUAUAUUCGGACACCGGAAGUGUUCCGGGUGAUUUCGGAGAACACCGGUGUACCGGAGGGUUACCGGAACCCCCCGGGAGAAGUAAUAGGCCAUAUGGGCCUUAGUGGAGACAGAGAAGGGUAGCCAGGGUGGGCCGCGCGCCUCCUCCCCCUGGUCCGAAUUGGACUAGGAGAGGGGGGGGCCCUUUCCUUCUCCCUCCCCACUUCCUUCCCCCUCCUAGUAGGAGUCCUACUCCUACUAGGAGGAGGACUCCUCCUUGGCGCGCCUAUAGGGCCGGCCGGCCUCCUCCCCUUGCUCCUUUAUAUACGGGGGCAGGGGGCACCCCUAGACACACAAGUUGAUCCACGUGAUCGUUUUCUUAGCCGUGUGCGGUGCCCCCUUCCACCAUAAUCCUCGAUAAUAUUGUAGCGGUGCUUAGGCGAAGCCCUGCGACGGUAGACCAUCAAGAUCGUCACCAUGCCGUCGUGCUGACGGAACUCUUCCCCGACACUUUGCUGGAUCGAAGUCCGGGGAUCGUCAUCGAGCUGAACGUGUGCUAAAACUCGGAGGUGCCGUAGUUUCGGUGCUUGAUCGGUCGGGCCGUGAAGACGUACGACUACAUCAACCGCGUUGUGCUAACGCUUCCGCUGUCGGUCUACAAGGGUACAUAGAUCACACUCUCCCCUCUCGUUGCUAUGCAUCACCAUGAUCUUGCGUGUGCAUAGGAAUUUUUUUGAAAUUACUAUGUUCCCCAACAGUGGCAUCCGAGCCUAGGUUUUAUGUGUUGAUGUUAUAUGCACGAGUAGAACACAAGUGAGUUGUGGGCGAUAUAAGUCAUACUGCUUACCAGCAUGUCAUACUUUGGUUUGGCGGUAUUGUUGGACGAAGCGGCCCGGACCGACAUUACCCGUACGCUUACGCGAGACCGGUUCUCCCGACGUGCUUUGCACAAAGGUGGCUAGCGGGUGUCAGUUUCUCCAACUUUAGUUGAACCGAGUGUGGCUACGCCCGGUCCUUGCGAAGGAUAAAACAUCACCAACUUCACAAACUAUCGUUGUGGUUUUGAUGCGUAGGCAAGAUUGGUUCUUGCUUAAGCCUGUAGUAGCCACGUAAAACUUGCAACAACAAAGUAGAGGACGUCUAACUUGUUUUUGCAGGGCAUGUUGUGAUGUGAUAUGGUCAAGACAUGUUUCUAAAUUUUAUUGUAUAAGAUGAACAUGUUUUGUAACCAAGUUAUCGGCAACUAGCAAGAGCCAUAUGGUUGUCGCUUUCUUGUAUGCAAUGCAAUUGUGCUGUAAUGCUUUACUUGAUCACUAAGCGGUAGCGAUAGUCGUGGAAGCAUAAGGUUGGCAAGACGACAACGAUGCUACGAUGGUGAUCAAGGUGUCGCGCCGGUGACGAUGGUGAUCACGACGGUGCUUCGAAGAUGGAGAUCACAAGCACAAGAUGAUGAUGGCCAUAUCAUAUCACUUAUAUUGAUUGCAUGUGAUGUUUAUCUUUUAUGCAUCUUAUCUUGCUUUGAUUGACGGUAGCAUUUUAAGAUGAUCUCUCACUAAUUAUCAAGAAGUGUUCUCCCUGAGUAUGCACCGUUGUGAAAGUUCUUCGUGCUGAGACACCACGUGAUGAUCGGGUGUGAUAGGCUCUACAUUCAAAUACAACGGGUGCAAAACAGUUGCACACACGGAAUACUCAGGUUAUACUUGAUGAGCCAAGCAUAUACAGAUAUGGCCUCGGAACACGGAGAUCGAAAGGUCGAGCGUGAAUCAUAUAGUAGAUAUGAUCACCAUAGUGAUGUUCACCAAUGAAACUACUCCAUCUCAUGUGAUGAUCGGACAUGGUUUAGUUGAUUUGGAUCACGUAAUCACUUAGAGGAUUAGAGGGAUGUCUAUCUAAGUGGGAGUUCUUUAGUAAUAUGAUUAAUUGAACCUAAAUUUAUCAUGAACUUAGUACCUGGUAGUAUCUUGCUUGUUUAUGUUUGAUUGUAGAUAGAUGGCCCAUGCUGUUGUUCCGUUGAAUUUUAAUGCGUUUCUUGAGAAAGCAAAGUUGAAAGAUGAUGGUAGCAAUUACACGGACUGGGUCCGUAACUUGAGGAUUAUCCUCAUUGCUGUACAGAAGAAUUACGUCCUGGAAGCACCUCUGGGUGUCAGGCCUACUGCUGGAGCAACACCAGAUGUUAUGAACGUCUGGCAGAGCAAAGCUGAUGACUACUCGAUAGUUCAGUGUGCCAUGCUUUACGGCUUAGAAUCAGGACCUCAACGACGUUUUAGAACGUCAUGGAGCAUAUGAGAUGUUCCAGGAGUUGAAGUUAAUAUUUCAAGUAAAUGCCCGGAUUGAGAGAUAUGAAGUCUCCAAUAAGUUCUAUAGCUGCAAGAUGGAGGAGAACAGUUCUGUCAAUGAGCAUAUACUCAAAAUAUCUGGGUAUAAUAAUCACUUGAUUCAAUCAGGAGUUAAUCUUCCAGAUGAUUGCGUCAUUGACAGAAUUCUCCAAUCACUACCACCAAGCUACAAGAGCUUCGUGAUGAACUAUAAUAUGCAAGGGAUGAAUAAGACUAUUCCCGAGCUCUUCGCAAUGCUGAAAGCUGCGGAGGUAGAAAUCAAGAAGGAGCAUCAAGUGUUGAUGGUCAACAAGACCACUAGUUUCAAGAAAAAGGGCAAAGGAAAGAAGAAGGGGAACUUAAAAAAAACAUCAAGCAAGUUGCUACUCAAGAGAAGAAACCCAAGCCUGGACCUAAGCCUGAAACUGAGUGCUUCUACUGCAAGCAGACUGGUCACUGGAAGCGGAACUGCCCCAAGUAUUUGGCGGAUAAGAAGGAUGGCAAGAUGAACAAAGGUAUAUGUGAUAUACAUGUUAUGUAUGUGUACCUUACUAAUGCUCGCAGUAGCACCUGGGUAUUUGAUACUGGUUUUGUUGCUAACAUUUGCAACUCGAAACAUGGAUUACGGAUUAAGCGAAGAUUGGCUAAGGACGAGGUGACAAUGCGCGUGGAAAAUGGCUCCAAAGUCGAUGUGAUCGCGGUCGGCACGCUACCUCUACAUCUACCUUCGGGAUUAGUAUUAGACCUAAAUAAUUGUUAUUUGGUGCCAGCGUUAAGCAUGAACAUUAUAUCUAGAUCUUGUUUGAUGCGAGAUGAUUAUUCAUUUAAAUUAGAGAAUAAUGGUUGUUCUAUUUAUAUGAGUAAUAUCUUUUAUGGUCAUGCACCCUUAAAAAGUGGUCUAUUGAACAUAUAAACCCUGAAGAAGUGGUAGUCACAACGAAGCCAGCCACAUCGCCUUUAAAUCGCUGCUACCACCGCCUGUAAUUUUUGUUCCCCGCCGAGGGCAUUUUGGUCUUUUCACGUGCAGGGGUAUAAAUCGGGCGGCGGGCGCCGUAGCAGCGAGUGGUCCAAACCUAGCCCCCAAUCUCCUUCUGCCCCGAGCCCCGCUCCAUCUCCGCCUGUGUAGUUCGCCACCGCCAUGCCCCUGCUCGUCCCACGCCCCUGCUCCUCCCCUUGGUUUCUCUCCUCUUCUAGCUGUCUCUCCUCUAGCCGCAUCGUUGACCAUCUCCCUACCUAUUUAUCCCAUCCCUGCAAGGCAGUGCCUCCCCACGUUCUCGAUCCGGCGUUGCCAUGCACGGUGGUUUCGCCUCCCCAUGUUCUUGAUCUGGUGUUGCUGUGGGUAGGUCACACUAUGGUAGAGUAGGGGCGGUGUGAUUUCCGUGAUGGAUAUGGAGGACGAGGGCCAGGGGGAGGGUGGGCAGGACGGACAUGGGGAAGGAGCUGCGAGGCUGGAGAUCCAGCGGCGCUCGGGUCAUGGUGGUGUGGGGCCGACCAUCACUCCCGACCGCUGGUUGUCGUUCCUCAUCCCCAAUCUAGGCUGUACAUGUUUGGCCCUGCCAUCUUCUUCUUCCUCCCAAGUCUUUGCCUCUUGAUUUCUUUGGUUCCUGAUUUUGAUUUCUCGAUUUACAAUUUUCCUGAACAUGAUAUGUGUAGAUCUUAUGAAGAAGAGAAGAGGGAGGAUCUUGAGGAAGAGUCCAGAACAAGGUGAAACUUCUCUUGUGGACCCUGUUUUUGGCACAAUACAUUGGGAGCAGGUAUGUUUUGUCCAUACUCGUUCUUCUUUUUUCAUGUCGUGUUCAACCUGUUUGAUAUUGGUACCCCUGGGAAAUAUUCCCAACUUGCCUUGUAUGGUUAAUUCGUUAUGGAUCUCCAGUGCAGAUUUGUUGCUGCUGGAAUGGAUAAUGGUUAGUAUGACAUGAUAGUUUGUUGCCAUUGGAAUGAUCUGCUUUUAUAUGCUAUUAGCAAGAGUGAUACUUUUAAAUUUUGUUCACUUGUGUCCUUCGAUUCAACACAUGCUAAUGUGAAGUUGUAACUUUUUAGAAAAACAAAAGCAGAAUGAAGCUAUGGUUUUACUUGCAGCUUGGUUUUCACAUUCUUCCCAGGUUAAUCUUCACUAUUUUCUUUGGCUCAACUUUAUGUUGCCUUUGCUUUGUACACACCUCAUUAAAACUGAAUCAAGAGGCAUUAUAUUUGUGUAGAUGGUGCCCGCCAUCCCAGUAUGCCUCCCCUCAUUCUGAUGCUUUCGACCCGCCCACAUGCAUUGUAACUUCUUCCUGCUUGUUCUUUGAUUUUUCUGCUCAACCCACACUUUUGUUUAUGCUCCUUGGGUGUGCAAUGUGCUCAAUCUACCCUUUUAGCUAUUUUGCUUGAUGGUCGAUACAUAUGCAAAAGGAGAGGUGGUAGAUAUAGAUGUGAAAGGAGAGGUGUUGACUUUGGAACCGGCUUUCUAACAUAAAUAACUCCAUAUGAAGAUGAAUUGUAAGGACACAACGAUAAUUAUGUCUGGUGACAUGCUGACAUAGCCGUUACCUCCUGUCGUGCUUCACCGGUUUGGCCCAUCUUGUCAUAAUGUGUUUGGAUUAGAGAGUGGCUUCAUCGGCUUUAGAUCCAUGGUCUCAAUAGUUUUGUUGUUCCUGGAUUAUAUCUUAUUGCUAGCUGCAUUGCUUUUGCUCUUUGGUGGGCCUUCAUUAUUUAUGGGGUAUAAUUUGGAGCUAGUCUUUCUAUAGUUUUGGUGUGUCAGAUAAGACGUUGAUGGCUAGCUAUGCUUUGCUUAUAGUUCAGAACUUCAGAUGCCUAUGAGUUAUGAUACCUUCUGUUUUGGUUGUAAUGCCUGACCAUAGAGAGAGGAACAUCGGACAUUGAGGAUUGCGGUGGCUGAUUUUUUAAUUUGUGUUUGCCUCAAGGAUUCUCAUUUAUCUUAACUUCCAUUUACUCAAGACAAUUACAACAUUGGUAGAUAAACUUCUAUUUUCUUAUGUUCUUUGUUAUAUGAUACAUCCCAACAGAACUGAAGCAACUAAUUUAUUCAUGAAAAUGGUUGGUUUAAAUCUCGAAAGCUCAUACCGACAUGGCUUUUUUCACAGCUUCAUGACGAACUAAAAUAAAAGCUUAUGAUAGAAGAAACAUGCUUGGAUAGGCGUCCUUGUUGACCUCGCAGUCUCCAACCCAUCCUUAGGUAUUGCAGCUCCUUCCAAUCCAGUUUACUCCUUUUUGACAAUUUUCUUACUUGAGCCUUGGAGAUAUGCACUGAAUCGGCUAAUGUUUUCUCUGGGAAUUUCCUUUUGUAGAGAGGAUGUCUUCCCGAAUGUAGUUUUUAGUUCUUGAUCUUUUUUAUACAAGAUAUCUAAAUACUGUAAUAACUCUUGCUGGGAAGAAGGUUGUCAUAUAAGGGGAAAACUUUAGAAGUUACGCGAUGUUAUUAUUUUAUUUACUUAUAUCAUGAUAAAUGUUUAUUAUUCAUGCUAGAAUUGUAUUAUCCGGAAACAUAAUACUUGUGUGAAUACAUAGACAAACUAAAACGUCACUAGUAUGCCUCUACUUGACUAGCUCAUUAAUCAAAGAUGGUUAUGUUUCCUAACCAUAGACAUGUGUUGUCAUUUGAUUAACGGGAUCACAUUAUUAGGAGAAUGAUGUGAUUGACAUGACCCAUUCCAUUAGCUUAGCACCCGAUCGUUUAGUAUGUUGCUAUUGCUUUCUUCAUGACUUAUACAUGUUCCUAUGACUAUGAGAUUAUGCAAAUUCCGUUUGCCGGAGGAACACUUUGUGUGCUACCAAACGUCACAACGUAACUGGGUGAUUAUAAAGGAGCUCUACAGGUGUCUCCAAAGGUAAAUGUUGGGUUGGCAUAUUUUGAGAUUAGGAUUUGUCACUCCGAUUGUCAGAGAGGUAUCUCUGGGCCCUCUCGGUAAUGCACAUCACAUAAGCCUUGCAAGCAUUGCAACUAAUGAGUUAGUUGCGAGAUGAUGUAUUACGAAACGAGUAAACAGACUUGCCAGUAACGAGAUUGAACUAGGUAUUGAGAUACUGACGAUCGAAUCUCAGGCAAGUAACAUACCGAUGACAAAGGGAACAACAUGUGUUGUUAUGCGGUUUGACCGAUAAAGAUCUUCGUAGAAUAUGUGGGAGCCAAUAUGAGCAUCCAGGUUCCGCUAUUGGUUAUUGACCGGAGACAUGUCUCGGUCAUGUCUACAUUGUUCUCGAACCCGUAGGGUCCGCACGCUUAAGGUUUCGAUGACAGUUAUAUUAUGAGUUUAUGAGUUUUGAUGUACCGAAGUUAGUUCGGAGUCCCGGAUGUGAUCACGGACAUAACGAGGAGUCUUGAAAUGGUUGAGACAUAAAGAUUGAUAUACUGUACGACUAUAUUCGGACACCGAAAGUGUUCCGGGUGAUUUCGGAGAAAACCGGAGUACUGGAGGGUUACCGAAACCCCCCUGGGAGAAGUAAUGGGCCAUAUGGGCCUUAGUGGAGAGAGAGAAGGGCAGCCAGGGUGGGCCGCACGCCCCCCUGGUCCGAAUUGGACUAGGAGAGGGGGGGGCGGCGCCCCCCUUUCCUUCUCCCUCCCCACUUCCUUCCCCCUCCUAGUAGGAGUCCUACUCCUACUAGGAGGAGGACUCCUCCUUGGCGCGCCUAUAGGGCCGGCCGGCCUCCUCCCCUUGCUCCUUUAUAUACGGGGGCAGGGGGCACCCCUAGACACACAAGUUGAUCCACGUGAUCGUUUUCUUAGCCGUGUGCGGUGCCCCCUUCCACCAUAAUCCUCGAUAAUAUUGUAGCGGUGAUUAGGCGAAGCCCUGCGAUUGUAGAACAUCAAGAUCGUCACCACGCCGUCGUGCUGACGGAACUCUUCCCCGACACUUUGCUGGAUCGAAGUCCGGGGAUCGUCAUCGAGAUGAACGUGUGCUAAAACUCGGAGGUGCCGUAGUUUCGGUGCUUGAUCAGUCGGGCCGUGAAGACGUACGACUACACCAACCGCGUUGUGCUAACGCUUCCGCUGUCGGUCUACAAGGGUACGUAGAUCACACUCUCCCCUCUCGUUACUAUGCAUCACCAUGAUCUUGCGUGUGCGUAGGAUUUUUUUUGAAAUUACUACGUUCCCCAACACAAAACACCGUGGACCAGAGGACAAAAGCACUCCAAAAUCAGCAUCAAAGAUUUUACCAACAUGAGAAAUACCAAAAACAAGAUCACCAGUAGAGUCAAGAACACGAGAAGCAAAUUUCUUGAAAUGAACCUCAGAACCCUCAUCAAGAAGCUGUGGAACUGAAAUCAAAUUAUAACUCAACUUACUUACAAGGGCUACAUCCUUGAGAAGACAGUUCUCGUUGACUCGGAUUGUUCCUUUGGCCACAAUGCAACCCUGUGCAUCAUUCCCAAAAGUGAUAUUUUCAUCACCAGACGCUUUGCAGAGGGAGGCGAACCAUUUGGUAUCACCAGUCAUGUGGCGUGAACACCCAGAGUCAAUAAGCCACUUGUUCGCCAAACCCUCACAACCAACCUACACAAAAGAGCGACAACGAAGUGACUCAGUACUGGGAUUAGUAAGUAAACAUUUUUUAAUCCAGUACUGGGUCACUCCCUUUGCAGGAGUAGAAAUACAUGUGUUAUUAGCAUGCGAUGCAAGGCCAUCUUGAUACCUACAAUUUUGUUGACCUCUACCCUUAGUAAAUCGGGCUAUGGAAGCGGUCUCGUUGGAUUUAAAAUAGUCUCUCCUACCCGAGCCAUGCAAGUAUUCACUCCGACAAUGUGUGUUAGAAACAUGCAGCGCACGAGCCUGUCGUUGCAUGCCCCUAAGAGCACGUAUACGAGAUCUACGUUCAUCUCUAAGUUUUUUGAAGCAAAACUCAGUAAGGUGUCUAGUCUUGUGGCAAUAGGUGCACUGGUAAACUAUUCUCUCUUUUUCAGCAUGAGAACCAGUGGAAGGAGAAGUACCCUUGUCAUUUGGACUCGUGGGAAAAAGUCCCACAGACUGAAAAACUGUCGCUCUCUCAUCCUCACAGACCAAGAUAGCUCCAUCACUUCGAAUGCCUAUGGGUUCUGGAGGGUUGUUCCUAGAAUCUUCCACAAAGUCAAAACCAAGACCUAGACCUUUACUCACCUUUGACUUAUCUAAAAUCAUGUUUAAUCUUUUCUCACCACUUGAGAGCUUUUCUAGGGUCGUCUUGAGGUAAACUACUUCUUUUGCAUAGGAAGCACAUGAUAAACACUCUUUUAAGAAGGACACCCUCACAGCUCUCCCAUAUCUAUCCUUGUAGGCCUGAAUCUCAAGUUUUAAUCCCUCACAAGACACACAAUCUACACUCACAGGAUUUGCAACACCCUUGCCAAACCUGACCAGAAACGCUUCAUGCAUUGCAACAAGAUCAUUCUCAAGUAUGGUACAAAAGGUACAAGCAGUAACAGAACUAGAAGAAGCAUCACAAGAAUCAGUAGGUUUCUUAGAAUUUGAAACUUUAACAAGAUCAUAUUUCUUAUAGAGUUCACUGAGAUGAGCUCCCAAUUCCUCAACUUCUUCUUCGAGUUUAGGACAAUUUACACAAUUUUUAGGAGCAUGCACAUCUAGGAUCAUUUGAUUGAACUUUUUAACCCUAUCAUCAAAGUAUUUGCACUUCAAACAAGAAGGAGGAUUCUCUGCAUCAAAAAGCAUGUGUUCAAGAUUCUUAAUUUUAGCAUUUAAUUUAUCACAGUUUGGGCAGGCACAGUCUAGAACUUUAGGAACUGACAUAGGUGUAUUUUUAACACAAAGGGAGCAAGGGAUCAACUUAACAUCAUCAAGUUCAUUUCUAGUAGAUUCAAGCAACUGUGACAUACUAGCAUGAGUAUUCCUAGCAAGUUCUAAUUCAGCAUGCAACACAUCACAUCCAGCACAAUCAUCAAUAUCAUGAGAAGGCACACUAGCAGUAGCAUCCUUCAGUGUAGUGAUUUCAAGUGUGAGAGAAUCAAUUUGAGAAAGAUUAUCAUUUAUGGUGCACGUACAUUUUUUAAGGACUUUUGCUUGCAUUAAAAAUAGAUUUUCAACUUUCACAUACUCAGCAUAUAAUUCAUCAUAAGACAUUUGUACCUCAUCCGUGUUGUCAUUCUCCUCAUCAGCCUCAUGAGCCAUAAAACACAUGCCGGUGAGCCGAUCAGCCUUCUUCUUCUUUGUAUCCUUCCCUUUGGGAGAAGGAGGAUCAUCCUCACCACUCUGGUCAGAGUCGAUGUCGCUUAAAUCUACUGCAAAUUGUAGACCCGAAGCGAUUGCAGCAACCAUCUUCUGAAGAUGCUUCUCAGCCUUUGGCCGGAACUUGGUUUCAUGGCGAGAGAACGACUUCUUCUUGAUGUAGUUGUUCUUGCCACCGCUAUUUUCACCAUAAUCUUUGAGAUUUGGACAAUCAGACCUAUAGUGUCCCUGCACACCACACUCAAAACAGAUUUUUGUGUGUUUGCCUUUCCUUUCUCUCACGUUUUUAUAAGCUCGAGAAAAACGACGGACAAAAAGAGCAAGAUCAUCCUCAGGCAAAGAUUCAAGUUGUUCAUCAGAGACUGAAACCAAACAAGCAAGUGAAAAACCAGAAGAUGGACCACUGCCAGACUCAAAAACACUAGAGGGACCAUGUGCAGUUUGCAUUCACUACCAACUAGUGCAAGAGUCCUGUUCCUAGGUGGGUUUCUACCUUCACUGGCUAUUUGGUGAGUUUUAAGCUUGGAGAACAACAUGUCUACAGUGAGCUCAUCAGGUUUAUGGGACUCUUGAAUAGCGAUCUUUCUCAUCUCAUAGAUUGGGUCAAGAGAGUUUAGGAUGUGUCUAUCUUUCUUAGAAUCAUUGUACACAACCCCGACACCCCUCAAUUUUCCAACUAUGACCUCAAACCUACCAAACAUGUCCUCUAGAGACUCACCAGGUAACUGCUCAAAUUUGUUGUACUCGGCUUUGUAAAUGUCCUGACGAGUUGUCUUAAUCUCACUAGUGCCCUAGUGGUAAGUGAUGAGAGUGGACCAAAUUUUGUGAGUAGUGUCUAGGUGUGCAACACGCUCAUGCUCUCUCCUAUCCAAACCUGACAAGAGAAUGUUAAUAGCUUUGGAAUUAUUUUCAACAUCAACUAUAUUCUCAGGACCAACACGAGCAGGUAUUGCAAAAUCUCGCACACCAAUUUGCCAUAUUGCAUAGCUUUGAGCUUCAAGAAAUGUUUUCAUGCGAGACUUCCAAAAUGGCCAGUCACUCCCAGAGAACAGAGGAGGACGCGACGGGUUCACAAAUGACUCCAUGGCUCAAGAGCUGAUUAAGGCUAUAGAUGAGCCGACCGGGCUCUGAUGCCAAUUGUAGGAUUGAAUGCCGGGAGUCAGAAGGGGGGUUGAAUGACGACCUUGAAAAAUUUAACCUCUUAAAUUUUUUGCACGAUAGUUACGGAAGAACUAUGAUGCUCGGAAUAGAGGAAUACACAUCGGAAACAAAAUAUGUCUGUUAAAACAGACUGAAACUAGUCCACCAAUUCUCAAGUCUUGACUUGAGAGCUCAAAGAAUAAUAAGCAUCGGAAAAGUGUACUGGAAAAAUUAGUGCUUAAUUAGACCAAGAGGUUACACGGCAAGGUUAUAGGCUAAUCAAAUGGGAGCUACUUAACCCAAAAGACUAACACGCACUAGCACAAGACACUAGUACUUAACUUGCACGUACUAGCAUAAUACUUUUUCAAUGGAGAAGAACUACACUGCCUGGAGCUGAUUUCACUAGACGAGAAUCUGCAGCACAUACAGCAGCUAGACUAGCAACUAACUGAAAUCCACGAUUUUAGUUCUACCGAUUUGGACUGACCAACUCUGCUAUCCUAAAGACGAACGACAGAUAGCUGAAGAUGAACUAAAACCUGAGAAAAUUACGCCAAGCAUAAAAAUAGAAGGGAGCGAGCCAGUAGCAUCAGCGGAUGCUCUUCCAUUCGACAGAGAACGCCAAGAAAAUUGCUAGAAAUACAACGACCCCAAAUUGAAACAAGAACAGAGGACGAACUCAGUAUGAACUCGCAC